GUGUAAAAGAGACAGGUGAGUCAUCGAAUCUUUGAACGCACAUUGCGCCCGCCAGUAUUCUGGCGGGCAUGCCUGUUCGAGCGUCAUUUCAACCAUCAAGCCCCCGGCUUGUGUUGGGGACCUGCGGCUGCCGCAGGCCCUGAAAAGCAGUGGCGGGCUCGCUGUCACACCGAGCGUAGUAGAUUUCAUCUCGCUCUGGGCGUGCUGCGGGUUCCGGCCGUUAAACCACCUUAUAACCCAAGGUUGACCUCGGAUCAGGUAGGAAGACCCGCUGAACUUAAGCAUAUCAAUAAGCGGAGG
RNAcentral lists this unclassified non-coding RNA (300 nucleotides) under uncultured Chaetomiaceae. RNAcentral describes it as "sequence contains 5.8S rRNA gene, ITS2". The stretch from base 1 to 86 matches the Rfam family "5.8S ribosomal RNA", at positions 65 to 154 of the family's 154-position model. Lineage: Eukaryota; Fungi; Ascomycota; Sordariomycetes; Sordariales. The record is from RNAcentral.